RNAcentral lists this ribosomal RNA (381 nucleotides) under uncultured archaeon. RNAcentral's name for it is "bacterial SSU rRNA". It matches the Rfam family "Archaeal small subunit ribosomal RNA", at positions 473 to 853 of the family's 1478-position model. The record is from RNAcentral.
GUACCGGCGGCUCGAGUGGUGGCCACUAUUACUGGGCUUAAAGCGUCCGUAGCUGGAUUGUUAAGUCUCUUGGGAAAUCCACCGGCUCAACCGAUGGGCGUUCAGGAGAAACUGGCAAUCUAGGGACCGGGAGAGGUGAGAGGUACUCCAGGGGUAGGAGUGAAAUCCUGUAAUCCUUGGGGGACCACCUGUGGCGAAGGCGUCUCACUAGAACGGCUCCGACAGUGAGGGACGAAAGCUGGGGGAGCAAACCGGAUUAGAUACCCGGGUAGUCCCAGCUGUAAACGAUGCGCGUUAGGUGUAUCGGUGACCACGAGUCAUCGAGGUGCCGAAGGGAAACCGUGAAACGUGCCGCCUGGGAAGUACGGUCGCAAGGCUGAA